Molecule: ribosomal RNA, 778 nt
Filed under: uncultured Neocallimastigales
Lineage: Eukaryota; Fungi; Neocallimastigomycota; Neocallimastigomycetes; Neocallimastigales
Description: partial large subunit ribosomal RNA
Rfam family: Eukaryotic large subunit ribosomal RNA
Source: RNAcentral
CAUAGCGACUAUCGUGGCAUAUCAAUAAGCGGAGGAAAAGAAACUAACAAGGAUUCCCCUAGUAACGGCGAGUGAAGCGGGAAGAGCUCAAAUUUGAAAUCUUCAAGGUUUUACCUUGACGAAUUGUAGUUUAAAGAAGUGUUUUCUGUUAGAGAGUAGGUAAAAGUUCUUUGGAAUAGGACAUCAUAGAGGGUGAGAAUCCCGUAUUUGACUAUUCUUUCUAGCUGUGUGAUACACUUUCAAAGAGUCGGAUUGUUUGGGAAUGCAGUCCAAAAUGGGUGGUAAGUUUCAUCUAAAGCUAAAUAUUGGCGAGAGACCGAUAGCGAACAAGUACCGUGAGGGAAGGAUGAAAAGAACUUUGAAAAGAGAGUUAAACAGUACGUGAAAUUGUCAAAAGGGAAGCGUUUGACACCAGUGUUGUUUUUCUCGAAAAUCAAUUAAACGAAGGAUUUUGUUUUGAUAGUUAUGACCUUCAAUCGCUUUCUUCAUCUCUUUACGAAACUUUCUUAAUGCACUUUUCGGUUAACAAGUCAACAUCAAUUUCUUUUGUUGUAAAAGGGUAUGAGGAAGGUGGCUUUCUUUUCGGAGAAAGUGUUUAUAGCCUUGUGCCUCUACAAUCGGAGAGAUUGAGGUCUGCAGCGUAGAUCCUUCGGGGUUAGAUACGUUUGUGCUAAGUUAUAGCUUUUCAUAGACAACUUGUUGACUAUGUUUAGUCUUGUAGCUUACUCGCUGACGCUAUUUUACCUACGCUUAGGAUGUUGACGAGACUGUCGAUCUC